RNAcentral lists this ribosomal RNA (421 nucleotides) under uncultured bacterium. RNAcentral's name for it is "bacterial SSU rRNA". It matches the Rfam family "Bacterial small subunit ribosomal RNA", at positions 356 to 774 of the family's 1533-position model. The record is from RNAcentral.
GAGGAAUAUUGGGCAAUGCCCGCAAGGGUGACCCAGCAACGCCGCGUGGAGGAUGAAUGUCGUAAGAUUGUAAACUCCUGUUAGAGGGGAAGAAUAGUACCGGUUGGACCGGUAUAUGACUGUACCCUCAGAGAAAGCCCCGGCUAACUACGUGCCAGCAGCCGCGGUAAUACGUAGGGGGCAAGCGUUGUCCGGAUUUACUGGGUGUAAAGGGCGCGCAGGCGGGAUAAAAAGUCAGUGGUGAAAUCCUACAGCUUAACUGUAGAACUGCCUUUGAUACUUUUAUUCUUGAGUUCGGGAGAGAGAGACGGAAUUCCAGGUGUAGUGGUGAAAUACGUAGAUAUCUGGAAGAACACCAGUGGCGAAGGCGGUCUCUUGGUCCGACACUGACGCUGAGGCGCGAAAGCGUGGGGAGCAAACA